GACGUAGGGGCCAGCGUUGCUCGGAAUUACUGGGCGUAAAGGGUUCGUAGGCGGUGUGGCAAGUCGGGAGUGAAAUCUCCAGGCUCAACUUGGAGGCUGCUUCCGAAACUGCCGCGCUAGAGUGCGAGAGAGGCCAGUGGAAUUGCAGGUGUAGCGGUGAAAUGCGUAGAUAUCUGCAGGAACACCCGUGGCGAAGGCGGCUGGCUGGAUCGCAACUGACGCUGAGGAACGAAAGCUAGGGAGCAAACAGG
RNAcentral lists this ribosomal RNA (251 nucleotides) under uncultured bacterium. RNAcentral describes it as "partial 16S ribosomal RNA". It matches the Rfam family "Bacterial small subunit ribosomal RNA", at positions 524 to 776 of the family's 1533-position model. The record is from RNAcentral.